UGGGUAACCUGCCUCAAAGAGGGGAAUAGCCUCCCGAAAAGGGAAGAUUAAUACCGCAUAAUAUGUUUAGGUCGCAUGACUUUAACAUCAAAGGAUUUCUUUUAGAAAUUCCACUUUGAGACGGACCCGCGGCGCAUUAGCUAGUUGGUGAGGUAACGGCUCACCAAGGCAACGAUGCGUAGCCGACCUGAGAGGGUGAUCGGCCACAUUGGAACUGAGACACGGUCCAGACUCCGUACGGGAGCAG
This 247-nucleotide ribosomal RNA is filed under the name uncultured bacterium. RNAcentral's name for it is "partial 16S ribosomal RNA". It matches the Rfam family "Bacterial small subunit ribosomal RNA", at positions 118 to 347 of the family's 1533-position model. The record is from RNAcentral.